Molecule: transfer RNA, 65 nt
Filed under: Marmota monax (woodchuck)
Lineage: Eukaryota; Metazoa; Chordata; Mammalia; Rodentia; Sciuridae
Description: tRNA.Thr
Rfam family: tRNA
About the family: Transfer RNA (tRNA) molecules are approximately 80 nucleotides in length. Their secondary structure includes four short double-helical elements and three loops (D, anti-codon, and T loops).
Source: RNAcentral
GAUAUAGCUCAGUGGUAGAGUGCCUGCCUGGUAUAUGUGAGGCCCUGGGUUUGACUCCCAGUACA